GCACUCUACUUGAUUUUCUUCGGAAAUGAAGAUUUUGUGACUGAGUGGCGGACGGGUGAGUAACGCGUGGGUAACCUGCCUCAUACAGGGGGAUAACAGUUGGAAACGACUGCUAAUACCGCAUAAGCGCACAGGAUCGCAUGAUCCGGUGUGAAAAACUCCGGUGGUAUGGGAUGGACCCGCGUCUGAUUAGCCAGUUGGCAGGGUAACGGCCUACCAAAGCGACGAUCAGUAGCCGACCUGAGAGGGUGACCGGCCACAUUGGGACUGAGACACGGCCCAAACUCCUACGGGAGGCAGCAGUGGGGAAUAUUGCACAAUGGGGGAAACCCUGAUGCAGCGACGCCGCGUGAGCGAAGAAGUAUUUCGGUAUGUAAAGCUCUAUCAGCAGGGAAGAAGAAUGACGGUACCUGACUAAGAAGCACCGGCUAAAUACGUGCCAGCAGCCGCGGUAAUACGUAUGGUGCAAGCGUUAUCCGGAUUUACUGGGUGUAAAGGGAGCGCAGGCGGUGCGGCAAGUCUGAUGUGAAAGCCCGGGGCUCAACCCCGGUACUGCAUUGGAAACUGUCGUACUAGAGUGUCGGAGGGGUAAGUGGAAUUCCUAGUGUAGCGGUGAAAUGCGUAGAUAUUAGGAGGAACACCAGUGGCGAAGGCGGCUUACUGGACGAUAACUGACGCUGAGGCUCGAAAGCGUGGGGAGCAAAC
Molecule: ribosomal RNA, 705 nt
Filed under: uncultured Lachnospiraceae bacterium
Lineage: Bacteria; Bacillati; Bacillota; Clostridia; Lachnospirales; Lachnospiraceae
Description: bacterial SSU rRNA
Rfam family: Bacterial small subunit ribosomal RNA
Source: RNAcentral